Flavobacteria bacterium GWF1_32_7 is the source of this 85-nucleotide non-coding RNA. The record is from Rfam. Lineage: Bacteria; Pseudomonadati; Bacteroidota; Flavobacteriia.
UUGUAGCCCCGAUUGUAGUGAAAAUCCAUUUUGUAAAAGUUAAAAAACUUUUGCAAAAUUAUUGUAACGGAAAGCGGGAAACGAC